GGCAAGAGGAAUGCUGAGAAGGAUGAGAUGU
RNAcentral lists this non-coding RNA (31 nucleotides) under Homo sapiens (human). Lineage: Eukaryota; Metazoa; Chordata; Mammalia; Primates; Hominidae. The record is from RNAcentral.